RNAcentral lists this ribosomal RNA (966 nucleotides) under uncultured eukaryote. Its description in RNAcentral is "SSU rRNA". It matches the Rfam family "Eukaryotic small subunit ribosomal RNA", at positions 623 to 1621 of the family's 1831-position model. The record is from RNAcentral.
AAAGCUCGUAGUUGAACCUUGGGCCUGGCUGGCCGGUCCGCCUCACCGCGUGCACUGGUCCGGCCGGGCCUUUCCCUCUGCUGUGAACCCCAUGCCCUUCACUGGGUGUGGCGGGGAAACAGGACUUUUACUUUGAAAAAAUUAGAGUGCUCAAGGCAGGCCUAUGCUCGAAUACAUUGGCAUGGAAUAAUAGAAUAGGACGUGUGGUUCUAUUUUGUUGGUUUCUAGACCGCCGUAAUGAUUAAUAGGGACAGUCGGGGGCAUCAGUAUUCAAUUGUCAAGGUGAAAUUCUUGGAUUUAUUGAAGACUAACUACUGCGAAAGCAUUUGCCAAGGAUGUUUUCAUUAAUCAGGAACGAAAGUUAGGGGAUCGAAGACGAUCAGAUACCGUCGUAGUCUUAACCAUAAACUAUGCCGACUAGGGAUCGGACGAUGUUACAUUUUUGACGCGUUCGGCACCUUACGAGAAAUCAAAGUGCUUGGGCUCCAGGGGGAGUAUGGUCGCAAGGCUGAAACUUAAAGAAAUUGACGGAAGGGCACCACCAGGGGUGGAGCCUGCGGCUUAAUUUGACUCAACACGGGGAAACUCACCAGGUCCAGACACAAUGAGGAUUGACAGAUUGAGAGCUCUUUCUUGAUUUUGUGGGUGGUGGUGCAUGGCCGUUCUUAGUUGGUGGAGUGAUUUGUCUGCUUAAUUGCGAUAACGAACGAGACCUUAACCUGCUAAAUAGCCCGUAUUGCUUUGGCAGUACGCCGGCUUCUUAGAGGGACUAUCGGCUCAAGCCGAUGGAAGUUUGAGGCAAUAACAGGUCUGUGAUGCCCUUAGAUGUUUGGGCCGCACGCGCGCUACACUGACAGAGCCAGCGAGUACUCCCUUGGCCGGAAGGCUGGGUAAUCUUGUUAAACUCUGUCGUGCUGGGGAUAGAGCGUUGCAAUUAUUGCUCUUCAACGAGGAAUCCCUAGUAAG